Molecule: ribosomal RNA, 497 nt
Filed under: uncultured bacterium
Lineage: Bacteria
Description: partial 16S ribosomal RNA
Rfam family: Bacterial small subunit ribosomal RNA
Source: RNAcentral
GAUGAACGCUGGCGGCGUGCCUAAUACAUGCAAGUCGAGCGAACAGACGAGGAGCUUGCUCCUCUGACGUUAGCGGCGGACGGGUGAGUAACACGUGGAUAACCUACCUAUAAGACUGGGAUAACUUCGGGAAACCGGAGCCAAUACCGGAUAAUAUAUUGAACCGCAUGGUUCAAUAGUGAAAGACGGUUUUGCUGUCACUUAUAGAUGGAUCUGCGCCGCAUUAGCUAGUUGGUAAGGUAACGGCUUACCAAGGCAACGAUGCGUAGCCGACCUGAGAGGGUGAUCGGCCACACUGGAGCUGAGACACGGUCCAGACUCCUACGGGAGGCAGCAGUAGGGAAUCUUCCGCAAUGGGCGAAAGCCUGACGGAGCAACGCCGCGUGAGUGAUGAAGGUCUUCGGAUCGUAAAACUCUGUUAUUAGGGAAGAACAAAUGUGUAAGUAACUAUGCACGUCUUGACGGUACCUAAUCAGAAAGCCACGGCUAACUACGUG